Molecule: ribosomal RNA, 381 nt
Filed under: uncultured bacterium
Lineage: Bacteria
Description: bacterial SSU rRNA
Rfam family: Bacterial small subunit ribosomal RNA
Source: RNAcentral
UACGAAGGGGGCUAGCGUUGCUCGGAAUGACUGGGCGUAAAGGGCGCGUAGGCGGCCUGGACAGUCGGAUGUGAAAUUCCUGGGCUCAACCUGGGGGCUGCAUCCGAGACGUUUGGGCUGGAGUGGGGAAGAGGGUCGUGGAAUUCCCAGUGUAGAGGUGAAAUUCGUAGAUAUUGGGAAGAACACCGGUGGCGAAGGCGGCGACCUGGUCCUUGACUGACGCUGAGGCGCGAAAGCGUGGGGGAGCAAACAGGAUUAGAUACCCCUGGUAGUCCACGCCGUAAACGAUGUGUGCUGGAUGUUGGGCGGCCUAGCCGUUCAGUGUCGAAGCUAACGCGGUAAGCACACCGCCUGGGGAGUACGGCCGCAAGGUUGAAACUC